CCUACGGGAGACAGCAGUGAGGAAUAUUGGUCAAUGGGCGAGAGCCUGAACCAGCCAAGUCGCGUGAAGGAUGACGGCCCUACGGGUUGUAAACUUCUUUUGUCAGGGAGCAAUUGGGUCCACGCGUGGGCUUAGCGAGAGUACCUGAAGAAAAAGCAUCGGCUAACUCCGUGCCAGCAGCCGCGGUAAUACGGAGGAUGCGAGCGUUAUCCGGAUUUACUGGGUGUAAAGGGAGCGUAGACGGCGGUGCAAGCCAGAUGUGAAAGCCUGGGGCUCAACCCCGGGACUGCAUUUGGAACUGUGCUGCUAGAGUGGCGGAGAGGCAGGCGGAAUUUCUAGUGUAGCGGUGAAAUGCGGAGAUAUUAGGAGGAACACCAGGGGCGAAGGCGGCCUGCUGGACGAUGACUGACGUUGAGGCUCGAAAGCGUGGGGAGCAAACAGGAUUAGAUACCCGAGUAGUC
Molecule: ribosomal RNA, 461 nt
Filed under: uncultured bacterium
Lineage: Bacteria
Description: partial 16S ribosomal RNA
Rfam family: Bacterial small subunit ribosomal RNA
Source: RNAcentral